Long non-coding RNA from Maniola jurtina (meadow brown), 1282 nucleotides. RefSeq lists it as uncharacterized. Lineage: Eukaryota; Metazoa; Arthropoda; Insecta; Lepidoptera; Nymphalidae. The record is from RefSeq and is a predicted model, not a curated record. The transcript is spliced from 2 exons.
CUGUAACUACUUCUUAUAUAGAAAACAUCUAAGUUCGAUUUUUUUUACAUAAUAUUACGAACGGAGAGAUCACGCGGUGUCGGCGGUGCACGCAAACUGAUGCUGCCGAUCAAGUCUACGAUCACUUAAUUAUUAAUUAAUGGUUGUUGCUGGGGAUUAUUAAUAAAACAUUCGCCCUGACUAUUGGCACUUAGAUUAGCGUUGAGGGAGUAAUGGCGCAUUUCAACAAUUUCGGUUGUUAUUUAAUUGAAGUCAAUUUAGAUGAUCAGAGUCUAUUUAGGUUGGUGCUGGCACUCGGCAGCGGGAUCUCUCCUUCAUUGGGCUCAUUGGUGACUUUCAGGCAGCACGAAUUGCACUCGCUGAUGCACUUUUAGACGCAUUUGCACUCGUUGCGACUACGAACAUGUAGGUCAAGAGGAUUCACACCUGAUUCACGCACGAACCCGAAGAUUACAUAGCCUACUAGUGCUCGCUAUUGGAUGUUACCCGAACCAAUGUGCAAAAAGAUGCAGAUGUGGUUUAUUGUGAAAAGAUUGUGCAGCGCUUCUAUAGAUUGCAGUGUAGUGAUAUUAUGUCAAUUGAUACAAAAAGUGGAUAGGUUAAAUUUUUCUGUUUGUGAAAUUAAGUGGAGCCCUGCGACUGUUCGUCUGAACUCGGCGUCGGUGUAUAAGAAAAAGGCGUCGGAUACUCUGGGCACGCAUCGCUUGAGCCAGUAGUGGACGGUGCACAGCGUGAUCAGGAUCACCGCGAGGAAGGUGAAGGCAGCGAUGUAGACGUUGUGCUGAAGACCUUUAGUCACGCCGCACUUAAGGCGGUCCUCGUCGUAAAUGUCUGCGACAUUGAUGUAGAAUAGUUAUAGACGAAAGAUCACGAACAAAAUGACAUCGUUCAAGUGGCCAGGUUUUUUUAAAUGAGAACAAAAAAAAAUUAUAGAACUUAACACCUAAGCAAUAAGUCUAAAGUCUAAUUGAACUAAGGUCAACUAUUAUUUUUGCGUUUAUUUUUUUGGGCCACUUUUGCUUUAUAAUUACAAAUUGUGUCGAUACUCAUAUCGUUGGUCUGCGUUGGUCAUUAUCAAAAAAUAAUGAAAACAAAAAGUCACACAGAAGUAAAACGUCGUCAAAAAAAAACAUGCUUGAAAAUCGUAAGAUAUAAUUAAUUCUUCAAUACCUAAGGCGCUUACAUAAGACAUAGGCUCCUAACUUCAUUAAUAAUAAGUAAUAGUCAACUCUAUGUAAAAUUGAACUGUAUGCAUCCAUCUAUUAAAAUGGUUUGGAUAUUU